RNAcentral lists this ribosomal RNA (498 nucleotides) under uncultured bacterium. RNAcentral's name for it is "partial 16S ribosomal RNA". It matches the Rfam family "Bacterial small subunit ribosomal RNA", at positions 30 to 523 of the family's 1533-position model. The record is from RNAcentral.
AUUGAACGCUGGCGGCAUGCUUUACACAUGCAAGUCGAACGGUAACAGGCCGCAAGGUGCUGACGAGUGGCGAACGGGUGAGUAAUGCAUCGGAACGUGCCCAGUCGUGGGGGAUAACGCAGCGAAAGCUGUGCUAAUACCGCAUACGAUCUAUGGAUGAAAGCGGGGGACCGUAAGGCCUCGCGCGAUUGGAGCGGCCGAUGUCAGAUUAGGUAGCUGGUGGGGUAAAGGCCUACCAAGCCGCCGAUCUGUAGCUGGUCUGAGAGGACGACCAGCCACACUGGGACUGAGACACGGCCCAGACUCCUACGGGAGGCAGCAGUGGGGAAUUUUGGACAAUGGGCGCAAGCCUGAUCCAGCAAUGCCGCGUGCAGGAAGAAGGCCUUCGGGUUGUAAACUGCUUUUAUACGGAACGAAACGGUCUGGGUUAAUACCCUGGGCUAAUGACGGUACCGUAAGAAUAAGCACCGGCUAACUACGUGCCAGCAGCCGCGGUAA